RNAcentral lists this ribosomal RNA (237 nucleotides) under uncultured soil bacterium. Its description in RNAcentral is "partial 16S ribosomal RNA". It matches the Rfam family "Bacterial small subunit ribosomal RNA", at positions 26 to 266 of the family's 1533-position model. The record is from RNAcentral.
AGGACGAACGCUGGCGGCGUGCUUAACACAUACAAGUCGAGCGGUAAGGCCUUUCGGGGUACACGAGCGGCGAACGGGUGAGUAACACGUGGGUGAUCUGCCCUGCACUUCGGGAUAAGCCUGGGAAACUGGGUCUAAUACCGGAUAUGACCUCCGUAUCGCAUGGUGGGUGGUGGAAAGAUUUAUCGGUGCAGGAUGGGCCCGCGGCCUAUCAGCUUGUUGGUGGGGUAAUGGCCU